This 465-nucleotide ribosomal RNA is filed under the name uncultured Klebsiella sp. RNAcentral describes it as "bacterial SSU rRNA". It matches the Rfam family "Bacterial small subunit ribosomal RNA", at positions 338 to 795 of the family's 1533-position model. Lineage: Bacteria; Pseudomonadati; Pseudomonadota; Gammaproteobacteria; Enterobacterales; Enterobacteriaceae. The record is from RNAcentral.
CCUACGGGCGGCUGCAGUGGGGAAUAUUGCACAAUGGGCGCAAGCCUGAUGCAGCCAUGCCGCGUGUGUGAAGAAGGCCUUCGGGUUGUAAAGCACUUUCAGCGGGGAGGAAGGCGUUAAGGUUAAUAACCUUGGCGAUUGACGUUACCCGCAGAAGAAGCACCGGCUAACUCCGUGCCAGCAGCCGCGGUAAUACGGAGGGUGCAAGCGUUAAUCGGAAUUACUGGGCGUAAAGCGCACGCAGGCGGUCUGUCAAGUCGGAUGUGAAUUCCCCGGGCUCAACCUGGGAACUGCAUUCGAAACUGGCAGGCUAGAGUCUUGUAGAGGGGGGUAGAAUUCCAGGUGUAGCGGUGAAAUGCGUAGAGAUCUGGAGGAAUACCGGUGGCGAAGGCGGCCCCCUGGACAAAGACUGACGCUCAGGUGCGAAAGCGUGGGGAGCAAACAGGAUUAGAUACCCGGGUAGUC